RNAcentral lists this ribosomal RNA (253 nucleotides) under uncultured bacterium. Its description in RNAcentral is "partial 16S ribosomal RNA". It matches the Rfam family "Bacterial small subunit ribosomal RNA", at positions 524 to 776 of the family's 1533-position model. The record is from RNAcentral.
UACGAAGGGGGCUAGCGUUGUUCGGAAUUACUGGGCGUAAAGCGCGCGCAGGCGGCUUUCCAAGUCAGUGGUGAAAUCCCGAAGCUCAACUUCGGAAUUGCCAUUGAAACUGGAAAGCUUGAGGACGGAAGAGGUGAGUGGAAUUCCCAGUGUAGAGGUGAAAUUCGUAGAUAUUGGGAAGAACACCGGUGGCGAAGGCGGCUCACUGGUCCGUUUCUGACGCUCAGGCGCGACAGCGUGGGGAUCAAACAGG